AGGGGCAGCGGGAUUGAAGCUUGCUUCAAUUGCCGGCGACCGGCGCACGGGUGAGUAACGCGUAUCCAACCUUCCGCUUACUCGGGGGAUAGCCUUUCGAAAGAAAGAUUAAUACCCGAUGGUAUGAUGAGAUUGCAUGAUAGCAUCAUUAAAGAUUUAUUGGUAAGCGAUGGGGAUGCGUUCCAUUAGGUAGUAGGCGGGGUAACGGCCCACCUAGCCGACGAUGGAUAGGGGUUCUGAGAGGAAGGUCCCCCACAUUGGAACUGAGACACGGUCCAAACUCC
This 284-nucleotide ribosomal RNA is filed under the name uncultured Bacteroides sp. Its description in RNAcentral is "partial 16S ribosomal RNA". It matches the Rfam family "Bacterial small subunit ribosomal RNA", at positions 65 to 339 of the family's 1533-position model. Lineage: Bacteria; Pseudomonadati; Bacteroidota; Bacteroidia; Bacteroidales; Bacteroidaceae. The record is from RNAcentral.